Molecule: ribosomal RNA, 505 nt
Filed under: uncultured bacterium
Lineage: Bacteria
Description: partial 16S ribosomal RNA
Rfam family: Bacterial small subunit ribosomal RNA
Source: RNAcentral
GACGAACGCUGGCGGCGUGCCUAAUACAUGCAAGUAGAACGCACAGUUUAUACCGUAGCUUGCUCCACCAUAGACUGUGAGUUGCGAACGGGUGAGUAACGCGUAGGUAACCUGCCUGGUAGCGGGGGAUAACUAUUGGAAACGAUAGCUAAUACCGCAUAAUAUUAAUUAUUGCAUGAUAAUUAAUUGAAAGGUGCAAUUGCACCACUACCAGAUGGACCUGCGUUGUAUUAGCUAGUAGGUGAGGUAACGGCUCACCUAGGCGACGAUACAUAGCCGACCUGAGAGGGUGAUCGGCCACACUGGGACUGAGACACGGCCCAGACUCCUACGGGAGGCAGCAGUAGGGAAUCUUCGGCAAUGGACGAAAGUCUGACCGAGCAACGCCGCGUGAGUGAAGAAGGGUUUCGGAUCGUAAAGCUCUGUUGUAAGAGAAGAACGGGUGUGAGAGUGGAAAGUUCACACUGUGACGGUAUCUGACCAGAAAGGGACGGCUAACUACGUG